AAAGAGACAAACUCUGGGUUUCCGUGCCAACGUUUGACUGUCCGUCUUAUAUAAUUUUUUUUAUAAUUAGUAUUUUCAUUGUUGUUAGAUGAUACAACAUAAUUAAUACUUUAUGUAUGACUUAUCUUUUUAAUUUUUUUCAUAAUUUUUUCAAAUAAGACCGACUGUCAAAUAUUGGAUACGGAAACCAGCGUUUAUC
MicroRNA precursor from Oryza sativa Indica Group (long-grained rice), 199 nucleotides. It matches the Rfam family "MIR812 microRNA precursor family". NCBI's taxonomy places the organism in Eukaryota, Viridiplantae, Streptophyta, Magnoliopsida, Poales, Poaceae. The record is from Rfam.